GGCGGCAGGCCUAACACAUGCAAGUCGAGCGGAUGAAGGGAGCUUGCUCCUGGAUUCAGCGGCGGACGGGUGAGUAAUGCCUAGGAAUCUGCCUGGUAGUGGGGGAUAACGUUCCGAAAGGAACGCUAAUACCGCGUACGUCCUACGGGAGAAAGCAGGGGACCUUCGGGCCUUGCGCUAUCAGAUGAGCCUAGGUCGGAUUAGCUAGUUGGUGAGGUAAUGGCUCACCAAGGCGACGAUCCGUAACUGGUCUGAGAGGAUGAUCAGUCACACUGGAACUGAGACACGGUCCAGACUCCUACGGGAGGCAGCAGUGGGGAAUAUUGGACAAUGGGCGAAAGCCUGAUCCAGCCAUGCCGCGUGUGUGAAGAAGGUCUUCGGAUUGUAAAGCACUUUAAGUUGGGAGGAAGGGCUGUAGGCUAAUAUCCUGCGGUUUUGACGUUACCAACAGAAUAAGCACCGGCUAACUUCGUGCCAGCAGCCGCGGUAAUACGAAGGGUGCAAGCGUUAAUCGGAAUUACUGGGCGUAAAGCGCGCGUAGGUGGUUCGUUAAGUUGGAUGUGAAAGCCCCGGGCUCAACCUGGGAACUGCAUCCAAAACUGGCGAGCUAGAGUACAGUAGAGGGUAGUGGAAUUUCC
RNAcentral lists this ribosomal RNA (638 nucleotides) under Pseudomonas sp. OC-D1-17. Its description in RNAcentral is "bacterial SSU rRNA". It matches the Rfam family "Bacterial small subunit ribosomal RNA", at positions 38 to 671 of the family's 1533-position model. Lineage: Bacteria; Pseudomonadati; Pseudomonadota; Gammaproteobacteria; Pseudomonadales; Pseudomonadaceae. The record is from RNAcentral.